UGCAUUCUCUACUGUAAGUCGCUCUGGAUAAGAGAGUCUGCUAAAUGACUAAAA
Salmo salar (Atlantic salmon) is the source of this 54-nucleotide non-coding RNA. NCBI's taxonomy places the organism in Eukaryota, Metazoa, Chordata, Actinopteri, Salmoniformes, Salmonidae. The record is from Rfam.